CGAAGGGGGCUAGCGUUGCUCGGAAUUACUGGGCGUAAAGGGCGCGUAGGCGGACAGUUUAGUCAGAAGUGAAAGCCCAGGGCUCAACCUUGGAAUUGCCUUUGAUACUGACUGUCUUGAGUACGGGAGAGGUGUGUGGAACUCCGAGUGUAGAGGUGAAAUUCGUAGAUAUUCGGAAGAACACCAGUGGCGAAGGCGACACACUGGCCCGUUACUGACGCUGAGGCGCGAAAGCGUGGGGAGCAAACAGGAUUAGAUACCCUGGUAGUCCACGCCGUAAACGAUGAGUGCUAGUUGUCGGCAUGCAUGCAUGUCGGUGACGCAGCUAACGCAUUAAGCACUCCGCCUGGGGAGUACGGUCGCAAGAUUA
This 370-nucleotide ribosomal RNA is filed under the name uncultured organism. RNAcentral describes it as "bacterial SSU rRNA". It matches the Rfam family "Bacterial small subunit ribosomal RNA", at positions 526 to 896 of the family's 1533-position model. The record is from RNAcentral.